ACUCCAAUACCAUUCCGAACUUGGCUGUUAAAUGCUGUAGCGACGAUGAUACUUAAGAGGACACUCUUUGGGAAAGUAGUUCAAUAUCAGGGUUAUAUGAAAUAAAUUAAAUA
RNAcentral lists this ribosomal RNA (113 nucleotides) under Polyneura bonnemaisonii. The record is from RNAcentral. Lineage: Eukaryota; Rhodophyta; Florideophyceae; Ceramiales; Delesseriaceae.